UACAGAGGGUGCAAGCGUUAAUCGGAAUUACUGGGCGUAAGGCGUGCGUAGACGGUCAUGUAAGUCGGGUGUGAAAGCCCCGGGCUCAACCUGGGAAUUGCAUUCGAGACUGCAUGGCUAGGGUGCGGAAGAGGGAAGCGGAAUUUCCGGUGUAGCGGUGAAAUGCGUAGAUAUCGGAAGGAACACCAGUGGCGAAAGCGGCUUCCUGGUCCAGCACCGACGUUCAGGCACGAAAGCGUGGGGAGCGAACAGG
Molecule: ribosomal RNA, 253 nt
Filed under: uncultured bacterium
Lineage: Bacteria
Description: partial 16S ribosomal RNA
Rfam family: Bacterial small subunit ribosomal RNA
Source: RNAcentral